RNAcentral lists this long non-coding RNA (584 nucleotides) under Homo sapiens (human). Its description in RNAcentral is "HSALNT0357494". The record is from RNAcentral. Lineage: Eukaryota; Metazoa; Chordata; Mammalia; Primates; Hominidae.
GUCGCGGGACUGAAGCGAGGUAAGCGCCGGCUGCGCCGGAGGAGCGGGUCUGAGCUGGAGGGGCUACAGAAGGGCCACAGAGGAGCCACUUCGAAGGAGGAACCCUGGCAUCCAAGGCCACCAUGAGCUGCCAUUCAGCGGGGUUCCAGGGAGGAAGUGUGCCCCCGCCUGCUCCCAGUGUUCUCAGCAUUUCUCCUCUUCAGUCGCCAAACCCAAAAUGACCACUGAGGAUUUGUUUUUUGCUCCAACACUGGGGCCUGAACUCACCUCCUCAGCCCCUGAGACUCACCCAGAACCUCAUCAGGAGACCAGCUAACAGAACGAUGAGAACAGUUGGAGGAUCUUCUAAAGCCUUUCUCUUGCCUCAUAGUUUAUUUCCUUGCAGAAUCCAGCCCCUCAGAUGCAGCUGAUGUCUUAGCCACCACACACAGCAACCUUUUUUGUCUUCACAGUUGUCUCUGAAGCAGCUUCCAACUAAAUAAAAGCAGCUUUGUAAAGGACACAUCAUUGAGGCUCUCGUGACCUGUGCCAGCAGUUGUGAAGGCACCCCUGGUUUCAAGGAGAGGAGAAAUAGACUCUGCCUC